GGUUGUAGCUCAGGGGUAGAGCGCUUCCCUCGCGUGUGUGAGGCACUGGGUUCGAUCCUCAGCACCA
This 67-nucleotide transfer RNA is filed under the name Marmota monax (woodchuck). RNAcentral's name for it is "tRNA.Ala". The record is from RNAcentral. Lineage: Eukaryota; Metazoa; Chordata; Mammalia; Rodentia; Sciuridae.